CCAACCCCCCACAACCGCCCAAACCCCAUUUUUUUCAACUUCUCUCAUCUCUCUUCCUUCUUCUUCUCCUCCAACUCUUAAAUUUUCUCUUCUCUUCUUCUCCAACUCCUAUCUCUUCCUUCUUCUUCUUCCCAUAACCCAAAACCCCCAUUUGUUUUUAUUCCUUCUUCUUACUCUGUUCCUCUCUCCAAACCCUACCUCUCCACAACCUCCCCCCUAAAGAAAAACGCCCCACCCCCGACCCCUCCACAACCCUCCAAUUCGUCCCCAAGACUCUACGAUAAUCUUCAAGUAAGUUGUUCUAAUUUUUCUUGUAUUUCGUGUACUUUGCUUUAUGUAGUGAUUAAUGUGUAGAAUUCUUUAUUUUGGUUGCAAUGGGGUUUUAAACCCCAAGUUGGGUGUUGUAGAUGGUCUUUGGAGUUUAUUUGUGUGCCUAGCUGACAAUUUUUGUAUGGGGUGAGUGGUGGUAGCACUUAACUGUUAUUAAUUAGUGGGAGCUUGCAUGGGGGUCUUAUAUGGCAGAAUUGUAUCAUUGAUAAGUGGUGUGGGGGCAAUAGUGGAUGUUGUCUACUUUGGCACCUUGCUAGAUGGUUCUACUGGCCAUGCUUGCAAAACAGAAACUAUUUGGUGCCAGCGGGUAACGAAGUCUGAGUACCCAUCCAACUGGCCCAUAUUUGGCUGCCCCUAUCGUCAUGAUGAAUUGCUUGCAGGUACU
This 715-nucleotide long non-coding RNA is filed under the name Nicotiana benthamiana. RNAcentral describes it as "long non-coding RNA (NBEN_LNC036431)". The record is from RNAcentral. Lineage: Eukaryota; Viridiplantae; Streptophyta; Magnoliopsida; Solanales; Solanaceae.